This 232-nucleotide ribosomal RNA is filed under the name uncultured bacterium. Its description in RNAcentral is "partial 16S ribosomal RNA". It matches the Rfam family "Bacterial small subunit ribosomal RNA", at positions 99 to 334 of the family's 1533-position model. The record is from RNAcentral.
CGGACGGGUGAGUAAUGUCUGGGAAACUGCCCGAUGGAGGGGGAUAACUACUGGGAACGGUAGCUAAUACCGCAUAACGUCGCAAGACCAAAGAGGGGGACCUUCGGGCCUCUUGCCAUCGGAUGUGCCCAGAUGGGAUUAGCUAGUAGGUGGGGUAAUGGCUCACCUAGGCGACGAUCCCUAGCUGGUCUGAGAGGAUGACCAGCCACACUGGAACUGAGACACGGUCCAG